Molecule: ribosomal RNA, 368 nt
Filed under: uncultured organism
Description: bacterial SSU rRNA
Rfam family: Bacterial small subunit ribosomal RNA
Source: RNAcentral
CGGAGGGUGCAAGCGUUAUCCGGAUUCACUGGGUUUAAAGGGUGCGUAGGAGGGCAGGUAAGUCAGUGGUGAAAUCUCCAAGCUUAACUUGGAAACUGCCGUUGAUACUAUCUGUCUUGAAUAUUGUGGAGGUGAGCGGAAUAUGUCAUGUAGCGGUGAAAUGCUUAGAUAUGACAUAGAACACCAAUUGCGAAGGCAGCUCACUACACAAUCAUUGACUCUGGGGCACGAAAGCGUGGGGAUCAAACAGGAUUAGAUACCCUGGUAGUCCACGCCCUAAACUAUGGAUACUCGACAUACGCGAUAUACAGUGUGUGUCUGAGCGAAAGCAUUAAGUAUCCCACCUGGGAAGUACGACCGCAAGGUUG